Molecule: long non-coding RNA, 1312 nt
Organism: Triticum aestivum (bread wheat)
Lineage: Eukaryota; Viridiplantae; Streptophyta; Magnoliopsida; Poales; Poaceae
Exons: 8
Source: RefSeq, a predicted model, not a curated record
GCCACUCUGUUUCUUCGUCGGAACCGAAAGCCUCCCCAAACCCCUGCGGGAGUGAGCGCUGCGCUCGAGCUCCUCGCCGCGCCGUCGCGUUGGCCGGUGGAAAUGACGCCCACAAAAGGCGAAUCGAGCAGUGAAAUCGAGCAUUUUACGAGAGGGAGAGAGCUAGAGAGAAAGAGAGAGGGAGGAAGAGCAGCGUCGACGCAGGCGGCGUCCAUCGCCGAACGCCGAGUUGGAGCACCACCAGGAGAUUUCCUCCAGGCUCCGCCGCCUCCGCCGCCUCCUCCGCCUCCUCCGCCGCCGGCGCCUCCUCCUCCGCCUCCACCGCCGCCGGCGCCUCCUCCUCCGCCUCCUCCCUCCCCCUGCCCCCCCCUCCACAUCGAGCAGUGAUGAGGAACUGGAGGAUUAUCGUAGCAGUUUGUUUGCUGCUUCCUGUUCUAGCCGCUGGCUACCAUAGGUUUUCGACUGUAGAAGAGGCCAACGCAGCGCUGCGGCGCGACCAUAUCGCCACCGGCAUCGGCCAUACGCUGGAGCAAAUGCAGCGGGGCCAGGGGAAUCUUGGAUUUAGCUCAUACUUUGGUUUUGUUUUUGCUUUCUACUCCAUGUCGGUCCUGGUCGUGGCUGGAGUGUGGGAUCACUUAACAGCAUUGUUUGGAGCAGUUGACGGCGAAUAUAUACUUGCAUUUACCACGAUGCUUGUUAUCUCCGGUUUUAUCGUGGCGACCAGCAUCCGCUUCAUGUUACAUAGUCUAGCACCAUGAUCGCUGACACCACAAAGCGCCUCUGCAAUGUGUAAGGUGUCAGAUGUCACACAGUUGAUUACCAUGAUUGCGAGGCAGAGCUUGUUCCUGUCCUGUACAUAGGUCAGUGCAGUUCCCAUUUCGGGAGGAAUCGGGUGGCGAUGGCUUACGGUCGUCAUGACUCUGGUUGAGGUCUGUUGCUGCCGUCGAUUCUUCCUCAUGUGGAAUUGUGCCUGGACUAUGCUAGCGUUCUUCUUUCAGCGGCUGCGCCAUUGAUGUUCCUACUGGGCUGCCUGUUCUGUUGACUCUGCCAUUGUCAGGCCUUGUCUUCGACUUCCCGAGUCCGUUCUGUUGCCAGCUUUGUUGACUCACGACUAUUGCCAGGUAGGAUAUGUGUGUGUGUAUUACACUGUCAGCUGUGGCUUCUCUGUUCGCAGUUAGGGGCCUUGACGUGUAGCUUUUAGUUUCCUUCAUUGCUCGUGCAUUUGUUUGUUUUAUUCCUUGGGUUGUAUCUGUAUUUGGUGCCUAGCUAUUGUAUAACCGGCGAUGCCAUGAAAUAAAUGAUGAAUUGUUUA